UAACUGAAGAGUUUGAUCAUGGCUCAGAUUGAACGCUGGCGGCAGGCUUAACACAUGCAAGUCG
Molecule: ribosomal RNA, 64 nt
Filed under: Acinetobacter baumannii
Lineage: Bacteria; Pseudomonadati; Pseudomonadota; Gammaproteobacteria; Moraxellales; Moraxellaceae
Description: partial 16S ribosomal RNA
Rfam family: Bacterial small subunit ribosomal RNA
Source: RNAcentral